RNAcentral lists this long non-coding RNA (411 nucleotides) under Homo sapiens (human). Its description in RNAcentral is "non-protein coding lnc-RPA3-7:1". The record is from RNAcentral. Lineage: Eukaryota; Metazoa; Chordata; Mammalia; Primates; Hominidae.
GCAGAUGCCUUGGCCUUUGGAGAGUGAUCUAAAAUGGCCUAGUCGGAGAGAUGCUAAUCACAUACGCUCCAUUCCUCCUCAAAGGGCCAAAUGUAGAAAUGGGCAGUGGUCAUGCCUUGGCCAUCCUCCAUGAACACGGGAUUGGCCCCAGCUUCAAAUGAGCACUCAGCCCAGGCUCAAGACCACCCCCAACAACGCGGAUGGAGGUGCUUGCCAGUGGUCCAGUUAGUAGCAGUAAACUAAGGGAUGGGUACAUGGAUAAUCUUCUCUGGCUGACUAAUCAGUUGGAACUACAUGCAUUUCGAUUAUUAUUCAGCAAAUAUUGAUGGAGCAUCUUCUACAUUCCAGGUUGGCCUUACGAAAUCCUUUGUGUCGAUUUCACCAAGAAGUGGAGACUUUUCGGCAUCGGGC